GAUGAAGAACGUAGCGAAAUGCGAUAAGUAAUGUGAAUUGCAGAAUUCGGUGAAUCAUCGAAUCUUUGAACGCACAUUGCGCCCGCCAGUAUUCUGGCGGGCAUGCCUGUUCGAGCGUCAUUUCAACCAUCAAGCCCUGCUUGCGUUGGGGUCCUGCGGCUGCCCGCAGGCCCUGAAAACCAGUGGCGGGCUCGCUAGUCACACCGAGCGCAGUAAUACAUCUCGCUUUGGGCGUGCGGCGGGUUCUUGCCGUUAAACACCCCCUUUUUACCAAGGUUGACCUCGGAUCAGGUAGGAAUACCCGCUGAACUUAAGCAUAUCAAUAAGCGGAGGA
Molecule: unclassified non-coding RNA, 334 nt
Filed under: soil metagenome
Description: partial contains 5.8S ribosomal RNA, internal transcribed spacer 2, and large subunit ribosomal RNA
Rfam family: 5.8S ribosomal RNA (bases 1-120)
Source: RNAcentral